Molecule: long non-coding RNA, 2362 nt
Organism: Pezoporus occidentalis (night parrot)
Lineage: Eukaryota; Metazoa; Chordata; Aves; Psittaciformes; Psittacidae
Exons: 3
Source: RefSeq, a predicted model, not a curated record
GACAGCAGAGCAGGAGAGGAAGGUGGGCGUGACUGAGUUUUGGAUUUCCCUUCUGCUGUGGCUCUGACAAGCCCAUGUGCUACUGCCAUCCCAGCAUACACAAGUGUGAGCUGGAGAAGAGAUGGUGGGGUCCCAUCCUCACCCUGCCUCAGGGCUGAGACAGUCUCCUCUGGGGAAGGAGUGCUUUUGGUCUGGGUCUGGGUAGCAGGAUGGGAUAUUUGCCUGUGACACAGAGGUAGCUCUAGGGCAGAGCAAAAUGCCACGUUCUUCUUUUGACGAAUGUUAAUUUUCAGCCUGGUUUCCAGCUGUCUGAACUGUUUUGUGGAAUCCUGACUGUUCUCCCCAGCUGUCCAUCACCAACUCUCAUGUUUUGAUGGCUCUUGUCACAAAUACCAUGCUAAAAAUAUCUUGGUUAUCUUCUCUUUUUUCCCCCUUUGAGACAUCUUACUGACUUUUUGCAGCUGUCCUGACUCUCUCCCCCUGUGAUUCCUGGGAAGCACUGUGGCAAUUAGAGCUGUCCACCCCCGGGAGGAGGUGUGCUCUGCUGGCACUAAAGACUUUGCUCCAAAGCUUCUCUGUUCUCCAUGUGCCAUAGAUUUGCCUGUUCUGCCAUUCCAAGUACACUCACGUCUGUGUCUACAACAAGGAUGCUUUUCGUGAAGCCUUUAUUCUUUUACUCUUCUUUGGAAAGUAUUGCCCCACAUUUUCUCUCUUUCUCCUUGUUUCCACUCAAAGGAGAGGUGUCGUCUUAACUGCCUGUCUUAGAGGUGAUGUGAAGGCAUCUGUCACUUAAGUAUUGAUGUGCCAAGCAAGGGCAGAGGAAAUCAGCUGUCUCUUUCUUGGAGCAUUAGUGCAUAAGGACUGAUAGUUGUAGUGCCAGUGGGAGACACCUCUUCUGAAGGGAUGGUGGGGGUUCAGAUCCCAGUGCUGCCAACCCUUGAUCAUGUCCUAGCUCUGUCACUCUGUGUCACAGCCGCCUUUCUCUGCAGGCUUUGCCUCCUGCCCUGGUGGGACUCUGGAGCUGUUGAAUUGUAGGACCCGAGUGGCUCUGGUGGGAAUAGAGCUGGUCAGGCAGAGCCGAGCUCCACCUAGUAAGGAAGGAAGCUUUUGUGCUCCAACUGAUGUUGCUGAAGCUGCUUUUGUUACCAUUGCAGAAGACCAACCUCAUGUGAGGGUUGAAUGGGACCUGGAGAUUUGCUGUAGGUACCAAGGAAAUGAGGUUCAGAAGACAGCGCCUAAUCCUAUGGUCAGCCUCGAUGCUGUUUCUUGGUUCACUUGUAGGAGGUAUUUUAUUUGAGGCCUGUGUAAGGUGGUACAAAGCAAUCCCAUGCAGCUGGCAGCUAGAGGCAAGGCUAUUUGUUCCAGGGCUUUGAAGACCUCUACUCCAGUGACAGCUGGCUCGCUGCUGCAGUGAUUGGUUUUCUCUUGCUUCAGAACAACUGAAACAAAUGUCCUUUUCAUUUCCUUUUACCUGUGGCAAGAGGUCUCCCGAUGGAGUUAAGGAAUGUCUUAAUCUUCUUUUCCUGGAAGGGACUGAGUGCUGCUUCCAGAGAGACGGGGUUUGGAAGCCUGGAGCGCUGAGCUGGCCGUGCUGAGAGACUUCUGGCAGCAGGGCUGGGCUGCAGAUGCUGCAGCGUGAUGGCCCAUCAGUCUGUGUUCUCAGAAAUGAGCCCACAGGAGCCCCUUGCUGGGGCUUCGCUGCAGAGCUCUGUCAAACCUUGACAGCACAAACACUUCCUAGAGCAUACUUAAAUCUGCCAGUUGAUGCCAUUAACACUCUGUGAGAGCCUUCCCGUGGUUGUACCUGUGAGCUUUAGUUUUCCCUUCAAAGAAUCGUCACCAAAAGCUCCUGUGUGUUUGUCACUUGCUGAAUGCCACCGGCGAAUCUUGACUUGGCAUGGUAUGUCACCAGGGGCUUCUCUGCCCACCAUUCCCUGGCAGCACCCCAUGUACAGAGAUAUACACAAGUGUUUCUACCAUGGCCUUGAUGACUGCCCUUCUUGGUGUGGUUGGAUUGCAGGAGACCAUGAAGGAAGAAGAAGUAGGUUUCUUACUACAUUUGCAGGACCAAAAAUAAAGGCUGCUAAAAAAGGUGACUUUUAUUUCUGUGGGAUUCUUGGUCCAUCACACAUCCUCAGGCACUUGUUUGUGCAAGGCAGAGCUCUUCAGGGCCCUUCUGCUGUACCCUGGCUUUCCUCUUUGGCACAAAGGGCUGGCAUUUUGGUCUCAGACAGUAGUUCAACAGAUGGCUCCUUAAAACCAAAAUCACCCAAGCCAGGUGACUUGUUCUUCUUUUCAGUGAGCCAAGGACAUUGAAGGUGCGUGCUGAGGUUAACUUCCAGAAGAAGAGCUGCAGGAUCAC